CACGGGGGGAGCAAGCGUUGUUCGGAAUCACUGGGCGUAAAGCGCACGUAGGCGGCUUGGUAUGUCGGGUGUGAAAUCCCCGGGCUCAACCUGGGAACUGCAUCCGAAACUGCCUUGCUAGAGUAUGGGAGAGGGAAGUGGAAUUUCCGGUGUAGCGGUGAAAUGCGUAGAUAUCGGAAGGAACAUCAGUGGCGAAGGCGACUUCCUGGACCAAUACUGACGCUCAGGUGCGAAAGCGUGGGGAGCAAACAGG
RNAcentral lists this ribosomal RNA (253 nucleotides) under uncultured bacterium. RNAcentral describes it as "partial 16S ribosomal RNA". It matches the Rfam family "Bacterial small subunit ribosomal RNA", at positions 524 to 776 of the family's 1533-position model. The record is from RNAcentral.